Molecule: ribosomal RNA, 218 nt
Filed under: Phelsuma guttata
Lineage: Eukaryota; Metazoa; Chordata; Lepidosauria; Squamata; Gekkonidae
Description: partial large subunit ribosomal RNA
Source: RNAcentral
GAGCUUCAAACUUCUACAUUAAAUUAAUUAUACAUAAUGUAGUAUUUUAAGUUGGGGCGACUGUGGAGUAAAAAAAAACCUCCAUGAAUACACGACUAACCCUCGUCACAAAAGGCUAACAAGCCCAAUCGAAAAGUUUGACCCAAUCAUAUUGAAUACCGAACCAAGUUACCCCAGGGAUAACAGCGCCAUCCCCUUAAAGAGUUCACAUCGCCAGG